CUACAGAGGCUGAUGAGGCUUCUGAUUGUGCAGGACUCAGCGAUUCUGAGUCUAUAUGGGGUGCCACCGGCGCCAUGAUGGAGUCUCCCACGUCUGCCAUGCGGUCUGUGUACUCCUUGAAGUGGCGGGUAACCGAGCCCGGUUUACCCGCUGGCUGUUUCCCCUGUGGCUGGUGAGGGGUUUGUUGUCUCUUGUUGUUCCC
Pelobates cultripes (western spadefoot toad) is the source of this 202-nucleotide non-coding RNA. Lineage: Eukaryota; Metazoa; Chordata; Amphibia; Anura; Pelobatidae. The record is from the annotation of a GenBank genome assembly.